This 117-nucleotide ribosomal RNA is filed under the name Bacillota bacterium. The record is from RNAcentral. Lineage: Bacteria; Bacillati; Bacillota.
CCUGGUGGCUAUAGCGGAGGGGUCCCACCUGUUCCCAUUCCGAACACAGAAGUUAAGCCCUCCAGCGCCGAUGGUACUGCACUGGCCACGGUGUGGGAGAGUAGGUCGCUGCCAGGA